Molecule: ribosomal RNA, 219 nt
Filed under: Triticum aestivum (bread wheat)
Lineage: Eukaryota; Viridiplantae; Streptophyta; Magnoliopsida; Poales; Poaceae
Description: partial small subunit ribosomal RNA
Source: RNAcentral
AUGGGCGGAGUCAGAGCAGAGAGUUGGGGUGUAGGAGAUGAGGAGAAUGGGGUAGGCUUCAUGAUGGAAGGAGAUACGACGGCAAAGAAUGUGGAGGUCGGGUGUUACAUGGAGGCGCAUGGUGAGCACCACACGCAGAUGUUCCUCUUAGCUUCCUACCUCUUCCCUGCUGCCCUAAUUUCCCCCUACGACUCAAUCAUGCCUCAAGCUACUCUCUAA